Non-coding RNA from Myodes glareolus (Bank vole), 1291 nucleotides. The record is from RefSeq and is a predicted model, not a curated record. Lineage: Eukaryota; Metazoa; Chordata; Mammalia; Rodentia; Cricetidae.
AGGAGCAUACAGAGCCACGCUGCCUUCCAGGCCCCAUUAGACUCCUCUUGCUAGUAUUUCAGUAGAGCGUCCGUUCCACUGAAGAUGCAAAUCUCAGCUCUCUUGAAUUCUUAGUGAAGAAUUGUCUUUCCUUUAGGCCUUUCCUGCCUUAUGGAUGUGAAGCUGUAUGGCAGGCGGUCCCCACCUUAUGUAUUACAAAUCCAGAGCGGCCAGGCCACCUCACCGAGCGGCGCAUUCAAGUGUUCCGUUGACUCCUGCUUCCCUGCUUCCGUCUCCGAGGUGAAAACACUACAGUUCUGCUUCCAGACCUUGAAGGCUUCUCAUAUUUGACCUCUAUGACUUCUUUUCUGCUCAUCUGUCUUCUACCAUCCGCUUGUCAACUCCUUAGACUGCUUACCUACAGAAACAAUUGCAAUGACAUGAUGCCCAGUGAGAAUCAAAAUUAAAGCAGUUACCAUGAGGGCAGAGGGAGAAUAAAGGCAUCAGAAUGUAGACCGACUUUUACACAGAAUCCUAGCCACAUGGAAGCUCCCUCUUUCUUCAUCCCUCACCCGAACAUUUCUCUAUCUAUUGGUGUCCUUAUGCCCUUACAGGAGAGAGAAGAUUCUAGUAAAGCAGUAAGUGGCAACUGGAGGCCACUUCCUAAGUCGCUGCAUCUGCAUGCAUUUUUACUACGAACUUGUUGAGCACAGCAAUUUAUAGCUCUGUAAAUAAGACAUUACUUUGAGAUAACAUUCAGCCAUGUGAAGUCACCAGCUAACCGGUGUAAGAAGAUGCUUAAACAUCAGGUGUAAUAUCCCUUAUAUCUGAUCUUUAAUUUAAUUUUUAAUUCUCUGGAAGAAGAAACAUUUUCAGUCAAAAAAUAUUAGUAUUAAUUUUUAGGGGUCAACUGUAAGUUCCUUAAGGUAAGUAUUUGACUCAAUUCUGAAAUUAAUGGGGCAAUAUUUAAAUGGAUCAGUGCAUCCAUUUAUUUAGCAGUUUAUGACACCUAAUUUUAAGACUAACAUUUUUCAAAUGUGUUAUUACUUUUCCAAUCAUACAUAAGUAGACGUCUGAAACGUGGUGAAGAUAAAUUAACCCUUGCUCUUAUUGCUUCCAGCACAGCCUGCCAAGUUUCACACAGCCGAACAAUAUGCUAAGGUAACACGAAUUUACCCCCCGAAAUGUUUCCGCGUUUUGCAGAGAGGGCAACAAAAUGAAAGGCUGCCUUGUAUCUCUUGCAUGAAAAUCUUGAGAUCAAUUUGCUGUCACAGAUCAUUUAACAGACGACAAUGACCCAAGAGGAAGGAAA